Molecule: long non-coding RNA, 295 nt
Filed under: Elaeis guineensis (African oil palm)
Lineage: Eukaryota; Viridiplantae; Streptophyta; Magnoliopsida; Arecales; Arecaceae
Description: long non-coding RNA (EGUI_LNC027792)
Source: RNAcentral
UCAUAUGGAAUGGGACCACCAUUGUACAUCUUUUAUAAAUAAGCACAGAAAUAAAGUGGCAAAACCAAUAUUGUUUACAUCCAAAAAUAAAGUGGCACCAUUUACAAUAUCAUUUGUCUUUCACUUACAGCCCCUACGCAAGUCCAAUUAUGACCCCUAAGCAAGCCCUCCCACUAGCAGAUCUAGUUAUCCCAGCCCUACAUCCAGCCCUUCCACCCUUUAAUCCAACCCUUCCAGCAAAUGUAGAUCCAGCCGAAGCCCUCCCAGUAGCAUUAGAAGAUGCUUUCCUCCCAGC